This 576-nucleotide ribosomal RNA is filed under the name uncultured bacterium. RNAcentral's name for it is "bacterial SSU rRNA". It matches the Rfam family "Bacterial small subunit ribosomal RNA", at positions 8 to 594 of the family's 1533-position model. The record is from RNAcentral.
AGGGUUUGAUCAUGGCUCAGAACGAACGCUGGUGGCGUGCUUAACACAUGCAAGUCGAACGAGAAAGUUUCCUUCGGGAAAUUAGUAAAGUGGCGCAAGGGUGAGUAUCACGUGAAUAAUCUGCCCUCGAGAUCGGGAUAACAUGGUGAAAACUAUGCUAAUACCGGAUAAGACCACAUUUCAUAAGAAAUGCGGUAAAAGGAGUCUCAAUCUUCACUCGAGGAUGAGUUCGCGCAACAUUAGCUUGUUGGUGGGAUAAAAGCUCACCAAGGCUACGAUGUUUAGCCGGCCUGAGAGGGUGAUCGGCCACACUGGAACUGAGACACGGUCCAGACUCCUACGGGAGGCAGCAGUGGGGAAUAUUGCGCAAUGGGCGAAAGCCUGACGCAGCAACGCCGUGUGAGCGAUGAAGGCUUUAGGGUCGUAAAGCUCUGUCAAAUGGGAAGAAUUUUGACGGUACCAUUAGAGGAAGCCCCGGCUAACUCCGUGCCAGCAGCCGCGGUAAUACGGAGGGGGCAAGCGUUGUUCGGAAUUAUUGGGCGUAAAGCGUAUGUAGGCGGUUAAACAAGUCAGGCG